RNAcentral lists this ribosomal RNA (2355 nucleotides) under Triticum aestivum (bread wheat). RNAcentral's name for it is "partial small subunit ribosomal RNA". The record is from RNAcentral. Lineage: Eukaryota; Viridiplantae; Streptophyta; Magnoliopsida; Poales; Poaceae.
AUGUCUCCCUCUUUUUCCCGCCACUGCUGCCUUGCCCCACUGCUUGUGCUCUUGCUGCUCCAAGCUCAUCUGCUUCUAGUUGUAGCCAACAGACUCACAAUCACAUCGACUUUCAGGCCCCCAGAUAACAUCACAUGCUCGUCCGGGGACUACGCCUUCGGGUUCCGCGCCCUUGACGCUGACCCUAGCCGGUUCCUCCUUGCCGUCUGGUUCAACUUCAACCUCACCGAGGGAGCCAGCCCUGCGGAGAACAAGGUGGUCUGGUACGCGAAAGACCCAGUCUCAGGCUCGGCCGUCAUGGCCACGGCACUAUCCAAGCUUACCAUCAAAGAUGGUAUGCUCUCCCUUGCCGCCGACACCGGCAACAUCUGGAGGAACCCCAACCCUGGCAUGUGGGGCACUGACCUCGUGCUCCAGGACUCAGGCAACCUCCAGUUCCUCACCUCCCUGGCUACAACUGUCGUGUGGGAGAGCUUUCAGGAUCCGACCGAUACGCUUCUCCCGGGGCAGUACAUGGGCUCUGGAGCUGCCCUUUAUUCCAAGCUCUCGGACACAGACUUCCUGUCUCGUGGCCGCUUCAGCCUGAACGUGCAGACUGACGGCCACCUUGUCUUCCACCUCCUGAACCAUGCCGCUGGCAAUCUGGCUCGGGACUCAUACAACAUAUACUGGGCGAGUGGCACAUACAAAACUGGGGAGGACGGCAACACGACUCUUUUCUUUGACUCGCCGGGGCAUCUCUACUUCCAAAUCAAGGACGGCACGGUGCAUGACAUGAUACCUCCACUUCUUAACUCCACCAUCAGUUACCACCAGCACGCAACGCUCGAUCCAGACGGCAUCGUCCGCGUCUACACCAGACCAAAGAAUAGCGCCGGGGAAGCAGCAAUGUGUCGUGGGCAGUCAGAGGACAGUUCCCAACCGAAGGUUGCAAGGUACAUGGGCUGCACACAGGGGUUCAUGCCGCAGAGCUGUGACAGGAAGAACUACUCCGCCGAGUUUGAGGUUGUCAAGCUCCCGAACACCACUUGGACAAACUCGCCAUACGAAAGACUUUUGCACAUCACAGAGGACGAGUGUGCAAACUACUGCUUGGAGGACUGCCUCUGUGCCGCUGCUACUUAUGAUGGAACUUACUGUAGCAAGAUGGUGUCGCUGGCAGGUGUCGGACGCCGUGGAGGUGACAUCGCCAUGAAGGCGUUGAUCAAGGUGCGGACGAGCAGCCCCUCGUUGCCGGCGCCACCAAGAAGGAUAUUGCCUUAUGCACUACUCGGUGGCUCGACAUUCCUGUUGCUGCUGUCCGGGGUAAGUAGUUUUAUGUUACAUUGCUACCUUAGGAAGAAGAAUACCAACCAUGACUUUGUUAGGGCUUACACCACAAAAGAGCUUUACAAAGCCACCAAUGGCUUUCAUAAGUUGCUAGGCAGAGGAGGCUUUGGCGAGGUCUACCAUGGGGUGUUGAAGUCGCUACACUCCCCCGACAUAGCAGUGAAGAAGCUCAUCAGCUCCAAUGAUUACAGUGAGAGGGAGUUCGCAAACGAGGUACAGUCCAUCGGCCAGAUCCACCAUAGGAACCUAGUCCGCAUGGUUGGCUACUGCAAAGAGAAGGAGCAGCGGAUGUUGGUGUUCGAGUUCAUGCCAGGUGGUUCCCUUCGGAGCUUCCUUUUCCAGCCUCAGCAGCAACCGAUGUGGAGUUGGCGCGCUGAAGCAGCCCUUGGCAUUGCCAAGGGCCUGGAGUACUUACAUGAAGGGUGCAAUUAUCCAAUCAUCCACUGUGACAUCAAGCCUGACAAUAUAUUGUUAGAUGCCAAGAAAAAUCCAAAGAUUACUGACUUUGGGAUUGCCAGGCUUCUUAGUGACCAGCAGAUGCACACCACGGUGACCAACAUCAGGGGCACAAGGGGCUAUAUAGCCCCCGAGUGGUUCCAAAGCGACAGGCGCAUCGACACCAAGGUUGAUGUGUACAGCUUUGGUGUUGUGCUACUAGAGAUGAUAUGCUGCCGAAAGUCCCAGGAGCCAGUGCCUGGUCAGGAUGGUGACGACUCAGUCAUGCUAUUCGAGUGGGCCGGUCAGUUGGUUGGUGAUGGCAGGACAGAGGUGCUGUUUCAUAGCGAUGAUGACGCCAUUGAGGAUUUGGUCAGAGUGGAGAGGUUCUUGCGUGUUGCUCUCUGGUGCGUUGAGCAGAAUCCUUCGCUCCGUCCGACGAUGCAUCAGGUGGUGCAGAUGCUGGAGGGUGUGGUUGAGGUCGACACUCUACCUGCUCCUACAAGCUCCAACUGUUCAUCAUCGUCGACCUCUUCCAUCGAUGAAGGGAGCGCUCUGUUGUCGGGUGCUGCUACUCUUGAGAUAGAGUGA